GCCGCCUCCCAUCCCACUCGCCUCCCCCUCCUCGUCGCCCUCCUCUCUCUCUCUCGCUAACCCCUCUCUCUCCCCAUCGCGCCGGCCGGUUACGGCCAGCUCCGGCCCGCGCGUCUCCCCCGCGACCCCCGCCUCCUCUCCUGCCGUCGCCGCCGCCGGAGAAGCUCGCCUCCGCGCCCACAAGCCUCGGAUUCGGCGGGAUCCGGGACGAGGAGGGGUGGAUGAGACGUGGGAGGAGGAGGAGGAGAGUGUGGGGGCGUCUAGGGAGGAAUAUCCCCGCCGCCUCCUCCGCUCGUGACGCAGGGCCUCGGGCCAUGGGGGCGUUCGUUGCAGGAGCCUCGCCGCUGACCUCCCGUGCGCGGCGCCCGGCCCUGGCAGCGCCAAUCUCCCCUUCACACACAGGUACUCCCCCUCUCUCCUCUGUGCCCUCUCUCUCUCUCUGUCUCACUCCCUUUCUUUUAAUAAUUCCUACAACUUUUUGGUGAUUGAUAUUGGGGAUAAAUAAACUGUUAUUUGUGUUGCUGAUUGUUUUGAUCUGGACAUGGAUUGGAUAGUGGAGAAUUGAUACUAGGAUAGAGAAAUUGUUAUUUGUGUUGCUAUUAUUUCUUUGAUUUGGACAUGGAUUGUUCAGUGCUAGAACUUCAUAUCAUUAUUGUUGAGAAGGUAUUGCUAAAAGACAGUUAACUCUCUGAUAUUUGUCCAUUCGCUUUCUAUAUGGAGGGGAAUUAAUAUGUACAGAUGAGCCUUCCAAACUGAAUAUUUGAGUGCUCUUCUUGUUUGAAAUUUUUUGUUCACAACAGUAGGUUGAUGCCCGCAGUUGUUUGAAAUCAAAUUCAGAGGAUACACAACCUAAGAUCGACACAUCCCUACCUGAACCAAAGGGUCGUACGCCCAUCAUUAUUAUUAUUUUCAAUGCUAUUUGUGUUCUUCAUAUCCCCAAUUAAUUUAUUCAGUCUUACUUUUGACAUAAAACGCAAGUUGACUUUGAACCCCUUCUCCACCACAGGCAAGGUCGAACCCCAACACCGAGAAGGUAUCUUGGCACCAAAUCAUCGCGAGAAGAAGGGUAUGUGUUGCUGUGCAUGAGGUGUUAAUACUUAAUAAAGUUUUGCAUUCUUUGUUCUGGUGGAUUUUGUGUGUUUGGUUGACAUCUAUGCUGAAUUUAUAUUCCUGAGAUUGUUCUGGUGUUUUUGGUGCAAACUGAUUAAGGAGGGCUGGAGUUUGUCAAGUUUGCCAUGUAUGCCUAAUAUAAUUUUCUUAGAUUGCUACUGCAAUUGUAUGAUUGUGAUCCCAGUAGGUCAAGACUACAUUUGUGUUGUUGAACCGAGAUUCACUAAGCUUGGCAGAGAGGAUAAAUUUUUCUUUUGCAGAUAACUGGGCUCUAAAAGAUUCAAUAGUUACAUGUAGUUUUGUAUCUGCAGUUUGUUUGCAUGUAUUUUUUGAGGUUUUUGAUGACCAGAAUUAUGAAAUUUCCUUGGUUAAAAUCUUUAUAUGUGGCAUGAUCUCUGAAAACAAAAUAGAGUAAUAUAGUUUCCUUCAAGUUGUCAUUGCAACCGAAGUUGAAGUGUAUCUUCAUGAUCAGUAGAUCUGUGCGUGAUGCCGCCUGUUGUAGUUCUAUCGCUAUGCAGACAUGUUCAAGAAAUGCAAGUAAUAUAGUUUUGAUGAUGUCUGAGUGUAGAUAAAGCAGCCUUGUUCAGAAGUGCUUUGUCAAGUUCCUGUAAAAAAGCUUUCUAGAUAUACAUUAUGUUUACAGUUUCGCUCGGCUUCCCUAAUCCCAAAGGUAAUAAUAUGAUUCCUUUAUGUUGUUUGCCCAGAUUCAGAAGUGAAUUUUUGAGGUAUAUUUGCUUGUUGUGUGUACUGUAAAUUCUAAGCUUUCUAGGCAUACAUGUGCAUGUGUAUUUUUAGGUGCUAAUAUUAUUUCUUUAUGUUGUAAACUCUAAGUGUCUUGUAAACUCUUAAGCUUUCUAGACGUUCAUGUACAUGUGUAUUUUUUUAGGUAAUAAUAUGAUAUCUGUAUGUGGUUGCCCAAAUUCAGAAGUGAACUUUGCUGUAUAUUAGUCAGCAUCUCCUGCAUGACCUUUUAAACUUCAAUGCAGCUGUACAAGGUUUGUGAUGAUUUUUUUCCCAGUUUUGUCUUGAUUUAGACUUUUGUAGUUACACGUGUUAUGUUUGUUCACCAUGCUAAUCAUGAGGGUUUUACAGGAGGAUUUAGACUCACACGAGCUUUCAUUGUAACAGAGCUGCUGAACUUAAACAGAUGUUCUCCCGCAUAUCCAUGCCCAAACUGAAACCUAUAUAAUUUACGCCAUUUAACCAUAGCAAUGUUUCAUCCAUUGAGAGAAUUAAAAAAUUGACAUAAAUUUGCUCACUGCAGAGCCUCCGAACAGGAAACCGGCGGGGAGCAUGCCACCGUAGGGGAAGGGCAGGGGAGACAUGGUGGCGGCUAGCUGGGCCAAGCUGCGAACGCCCAUCGGCGACUUUCGUUGGGGUCCAUACCAUUCUUCCUCCCCUCACUCCGAUGCCAAAACCAGUAGGUGCAGCAAGAAGGUCAAGCAUCAACAGAGGUGCACAUCCGCACAUGGGUGGCGUGAACAGAUGGCUACCCCAAGAUAAUCUGAACCAG
RNAcentral lists this long non-coding RNA (2623 nucleotides) under Triticum aestivum (bread wheat). Its description in RNAcentral is "long non-coding RNA (TAES_LNC028216)". The record is from RNAcentral. Lineage: Eukaryota; Viridiplantae; Streptophyta; Magnoliopsida; Poales; Poaceae.